Sapajus apella (tufted capuchin) is the source of this 178-nucleotide long non-coding RNA. RefSeq lists it as uncharacterized. The transcript is spliced from 3 exons. The record is from RefSeq and is a predicted model, not a curated record. NCBI's taxonomy places the organism in Eukaryota, Metazoa, Chordata, Mammalia, Primates, Cebidae.
GGCUAGGUUUUCUCCUAUGGUAUCUUCUAAAAGUCUUAUAGUUUUGCAUUUUACACUUAGAUCUAUGGUCCAUUUGGAAUUAAUUUCUGUGAAAGGUAUAAGGUCUGCAUCUAGAUUCAUUUUUGUGCAUGUGGAUAUCCAGUUGUUCCAGCAUAAAAUCUGAAUUUUUAUGUGAGGA